AUACGGAGGGUGCAAGCGUUGUUCGGAAUUACUGGGCGUAAAGCGCGCGUAGGUGGUCUGUUAUGUCAGAUGUGAAAGUCCACGGCUCAACCGUGGAAGUGCAUUUGAAACUGGCAGACUUGAGUACUGGAGGGGGUAGUGGAAUUCCCGGUGUAGAGGUGAAAUUCGUAGAUAUCGGGAGGAAUACCGGUGGCGAAGGCGACUACCUGGCCAGAUACUGACACUGAGGUGCGAAAGCGUGGGGAGCAAACAGGAUUAGAAACCCUUGUAGUCC
Molecule: ribosomal RNA, 274 nt
Filed under: uncultured bacterium
Lineage: Bacteria
Description: partial 16S ribosomal RNA
Rfam family: Bacterial small subunit ribosomal RNA
Source: RNAcentral